Molecule: ribosomal RNA, 460 nt
Filed under: uncultured bacterium
Lineage: Bacteria
Description: partial 16S ribosomal RNA
Rfam family: Bacterial small subunit ribosomal RNA
Source: RNAcentral
CCUACGGGCGGCAGCAGUGAGGAAUAUUGGUCAAUGGACGGAAGUCUGAACCAGCCAUGCCGCGUGCAGGAAGACGGCUCUAUGAGUUGUAAACUGCUUUUGUCCAGGGGUAAACCUGAAUACGUGUAUUCAGCUGAACGUACUGUACGAAUAAGCAUCGGCUAACUCCGUGCCAGCAGCCGCGGUAAUACGGAGGAUCCAAGCGUUAUCCGGAUUUAUUGGGUUUAACGGGUGCGUAGGCGGAAUGAUAAGUUAGAGGGGAAAUGUCCGAGCUUAACUCGGGAACUGCCUCUAAUACUGUUGAUCUAGAGAGUAGAUGCGGUAGGCGGAAUGUAUGGUGUAGCGGUGAAAUGUUUAGAGAUCAUACAGAACACCGAUUGCGAAGGCAGCUUACCAAUCUAUAACUGACGUUGAGGCACGAAAGCGUGGGGAGCAAACAGGAUUAGAUACCCCAGUAGUC